ACUCAACACGAAUUCUUUAAAAAGGAUAAGUCUAAGUUGUAAAAGCGGGCCGUGUCCUUUCCGGGUAACCGGAAAAGGAGAGCGGAUUCUUGAUCAACUUGUUAGUCCUAAACUUGAUUUUAAGGAGUUU
This 130-nucleotide small RNA is filed under the name Christiangramia salexigens. RNAcentral describes it as "Gramella sp. LPB0144 6S-Flavo RNA". It matches the Rfam family "6S-Flavo RNA". Lineage: Bacteria; Pseudomonadati; Bacteroidota; Flavobacteriia; Flavobacteriales; Flavobacteriaceae. The record is from Rfam by way of RNAcentral.